GCAAAGGGAUCUUGAAUUCCGCCGUUGGCUACGCCUGUCCUCGUCAUCGCUCGGCCGGCGGCGCGUAACAUCCCUCCGCCGCCGCCCAUGGGUCCUCUUCCUCCACCAAACAUAUUAAGACAAUAUAAAUUCGUUUACUUCCGACCAGGUUUCGUACGUUUUCACUCGGUGAUCAGUUUUGUCUUUUGGUCUAACCGAGUCUGAUCAAUAAUAGGAGUAAUGGGUCUGUUGGAUUUUGCUAUUUCUUAGGUUUCUUCCAACAGUGUGAUGGUUUCGAGGAGAUGGAUAAGAUUAAAAAUGCAGGAGUCUUUAAGGAUUUUCAGAAUAUAGUCUGUUUUCUAAGAUUUUAUACUUUAUGACUUUCUUUCUUUGCUUGGUCCUUCUUCUCCACG
RNAcentral lists this long non-coding RNA (392 nucleotides) under Eutrema salsugineum. RNAcentral describes it as "long non-coding RNA (ESAL_LNC002070)". The record is from RNAcentral. Lineage: Eukaryota; Viridiplantae; Streptophyta; Magnoliopsida; Brassicales; Brassicaceae.